Small nuclear RNA from Rhinopithecus roxellana (golden snub-nosed monkey), 107 nucleotides. NCBI's taxonomy places the organism in Eukaryota, Metazoa, Chordata, Mammalia, Primates, Cercopithecidae. The record is from Ensembl.
AUGCUUGCUUCAGCAGCACAUAUACUAAAAUGGAAACAAAACAGAGAAGAUUAGCAUGGUCCCUGUACAAGGAUGAUACACAAAUUCAUGAAGCAUUCCAUAAAUAU